UUGGGUAACGGAUGGUCUCACCUCGCUUCCAAGGGCUCGCUCGACGACGCUACAGGCCAACCGUCGGCCCGUGGCCUGGCAUCGCUGUCUUUGUACACCGCGCACCGCGCACGUAUGUAGCGCCUCGUUACCGUGCCCAUACUACCAAGUCCGCGCACGAUCGACGCGUCAUAUUACGCAUUUACGCGCCAUUACUCACUGUUUUGAUUAUUCACCAUUAAUUAUUCAUUCGUACUUGAUUAAAUUAUUCACCAUUUUUAUCGUUUAAAUAAAUUGUCACCGACGAUUACGCGUCCGAUCCGAAUCAUUACGUUUGUUUUGUUGUUCAAACCCACACACUCGAGCAUCCUUCUGACGAGAAGGCAGGAUCGUAUUUGUGCAGUCGUGCCAGGCCAACUUCCUUGUCCCCGGCACCCAAGGGAUUCUGCACUUGGACGCCAGGACGCACAUCACUAUUCUACACACAUACACACACGCUCGCGUUUUCGGUACAUACAGCCAGGUACUCCGUCGAACACUUAAACCACGGAAUACCUGGGUAGUCGUGGUCACGUCUGUUGAAGUGUUGUACUGUUGUCUCGUUGUCUGCUGUCACUCGCCGUACACGAUGUAUCUACUCGCACCGCUGAAUCCGCCAUCGACGCCACACAGAGAAUCGCUGCUCCUUCACCGACAUCAUCGCUGCCGCCAUAUUAUACCGUUUACCAGCCGGCAUCCAGACUUGGGACGUUUGGACGAAUUAUAUUGAGAUAACCUAAGGAAGAUAUAAUUCAGUAUGGAAUCAUUAAGAACAUCUGAAGUAAAUUCCAAGUAUGAUAGUAAUAUGCACAGUAUAAUGCACAAUAUAAUGAACAGUUCUAGAGUGCUGACUAUUCCACUUAAUAGAUGUGAUGAUUAAGUAUCCAGUACAGUUAUUAAACAAGAACUUAUUGAUAAUACAGACCAUACAGAUGAGAAUCAAUUAUUAAAAACGGAGUAAGAAUUGUAUAUACUUCAUUGCAUAAUAUAAAAUUUAAUUAUACUAACCUAACUGAUAAAUAAAUUCUUGACAAAACAAUUGAUAGAAAGUAUAAUAAAGCCAAUACAAAUAUGUAAAAACCUAAAGUUCUGCACUUUACUCAUAAUCAUUGGUAUAUAUCUUUCUUUAUCAUUUAUGCAUUCAUGAUUGCAAUCUAGCAUUGCUUACUCUAUUAUCUUUUUUAUUCAUAUCACAUUUUAAUAUGAAAAACAGUUUAAUUUUAUCCAAACGUACA
Molecule: long non-coding RNA, 1253 nt
Organism: Acyrthosiphon pisum (pea aphid)
Lineage: Eukaryota; Metazoa; Arthropoda; Insecta; Hemiptera; Aphididae
Exons: 5
Source: RefSeq, a predicted model, not a curated record